CCGGGCUGGCGGCGGGCGGGGACUGCGGAGGAGGCAGCUUGCGCCGGGGCUGGGCCCUGCUUCGGGGGACUAGCGGCCCGGGAGGUAUGGAGGUGCCGCUCCGGGGGGGGCGAAAGUAAACGAGGAAAGGUCGCCCAGGAGGGAGCCUGUCCCCCAGGGUUUCCAGGGGCAACGGUGGCCCGUGUCCCUGGCCCGUGUCCCUGGAGGACAUGCGCCAGGGCAGCAGGGAGUAGUCCCCGCAGGCUCCCAGGCUGGGGCCGGCCGCCUUCUGGGGCGCUCAGACCUGUCUGCUGCAGUUUGCAAACAGUACGCUCGAAUUCUUUUCAUUGUAAAAAAUUGCUAUUAAAAAUAACUCGUAAAGCCUAUCAUCUCUUUUAAAUAAAGGGGAAGAAAGAG
Molecule: long non-coding RNA, 396 nt
Filed under: Pongo abelii (Sumatran orangutan)
Lineage: Eukaryota; Metazoa; Chordata; Mammalia; Primates; Hominidae
Description: lincRNA
Source: RNAcentral